This 254-nucleotide ribosomal RNA is filed under the name uncultured bacterium. RNAcentral's name for it is "partial 16S ribosomal RNA". It matches the Rfam family "Bacterial small subunit ribosomal RNA", at positions 524 to 776 of the family's 1533-position model. The record is from RNAcentral.
UACGUAGGGGCCAAGCGUUGUCCGGAUUUAUUGGGCGUAAAGAGCUCGUAGGCGGUUGGGUAAGUCGGGUGUGAAAACUCCAGGCUCAACUUGGAGAUGCCACCCGAUACUGCUCUGACUUGAGUUCGGUAGGGGAGUGGGGAAUUCCUGGUGUAGCGGUGAAAUGCGCAGAUAUCAGGAGGAACACCGGUGGCGAAGGCGGUUCUCUGGGCCUGUACUGACGCUGAGGAACGAAAGCGUGGGGAGCGAACAGG